AAGUCGUAACAAGGUCUCCGUUGGUGAACCAGCGGAGGGAUCAUUACCGAGUUUACAACUCCCAAACCCAAUGUGAACGUUACCAAACUGUUGCCUCGGCGGGAUCUCUGCCCCGGGUGCGUCGCAGCCCCGGACCAAGGCGCCCGCCGGAGGACCAACCAAAAACUCUUAUUGUAUACCCCCCUCGCGGGUUUAUUUUAUAAUCUGAGCCUUCUCGGCGCCUCUCGUAGGCGUUUCGAAAAUGAAUCAAAACUUUCAACAACGGAUCUCUUGGUUCUG
This 279-nucleotide unclassified non-coding RNA is filed under the name Trichoderma afroharzianum. Its description in RNAcentral is "partial internal transcribed spacer region". The stretch from base 1 to 46 matches the Rfam family "Eukaryotic small subunit ribosomal RNA", at positions 1786 to 1831 of the family's 1831-position model. Lineage: Eukaryota; Fungi; Ascomycota; Sordariomycetes; Hypocreales; Hypocreaceae. The record is from RNAcentral.